Non-coding RNA from Oncorhynchus mykiss (rainbow trout), 669 nucleotides. The record is from RefSeq and is a predicted model, not a curated record. NCBI's taxonomy places the organism in Eukaryota, Metazoa, Chordata, Actinopteri, Salmoniformes, Salmonidae.
AAUGUAACAUAAUGUGGAAAAAGUCAAGGGGUCAGAAUACUUUCUGAAUGUACCUGUAUAUGAUCUAUAGUUAUUCAAUGAAGAUGAUGUUAAAAAAACACUGCAAGAAAAACACACAAAAAAUAGUGUAAAUGAAGGUCAUGUCUUUAAGGUACGGUGAUCAUGUCUUUAAGGUACGGUGAUCAUGUCUUUAAGGUACGGUGAUCAUGUCUUUAAGGUACGGUGAUCAUGUCUUUAAGGUACGGUGACAGCACGACAGAAGAUGAAACGUUCCUGUGUUUCCUUUUCAUUAGUAUAUAUUUAUAUAUUACAUGUCUUUAAUAUAUUUACGUUUCAUUUGGAGAUGUCAGUCUGCCAUGUCUGUCGCGAAGGACACACCCCUUUUUUGGGGAGAAACUGAUACUGUCAAACUAUUGGCAGGGACUUGAUGAAAGCCUUACUGCUCUCCAAUUGGCUGCGUCAGAGUUCUCAUGCUAAUGAGGCUCCCUCAUUUCUGUCCAAUGAACUGGAGGAAGGGAGAAACUCACCAAUCAACAGCCAACAAAGUUCAAUUCUAUUUGAAUUGAAGUGAAUGUACAUAAUGUACAUGUCUGUAUGUUAACUUAUCUUUCCUUGGAUUCUUUAAGUUUCUUUUCAAACACGAUGGCUAUAAAUGGACUAACUACAUCA